This 704-nucleotide ribosomal RNA is filed under the name Bacillus sp. (in: firmicutes). Its description in RNAcentral is "bacterial SSU rRNA". It matches the Rfam family "Bacterial small subunit ribosomal RNA", at positions 73 to 762 of the family's 1533-position model. Lineage: Bacteria; Bacillati; Bacillota; Bacilli; Caryophanales; Bacillaceae. The record is from RNAcentral.
AGGGAGCUUGCUCCCAAAGAUUAGCGGCGGACGGGUGAGUAACACGUGGGCAACCUGCCUGUAAGACUGGGAUAACUUCGGGAAACCGGAGCUAAUACCGGAUAAUCCUUUUCCUCUCAUGAGGAAAAGCUGAAAGACGGUUUCGGCUGUCACUUACAGAUGGGCCCGCGGCGCAUUAGCUAGUUGGUGAGGUAACGGCUCACCAAGGCAACGAUGCGUAGCCGACCUGAGAGGGUGAUCGGCCACACUGGGACUGAGACACGGCCCAGACUCCUACGGGAGGCAGCAGUAGGGAAUCUUCCGCAAUGGACGAAAGUCUGACGGAGCAACGCCGCGUGAGCGAAGAAGGCCUUCGGGUCGUAAAGCUCUGUUGUCAGGGAAGAACAAGUACCGGAGUAACUGCCGGCACCUUGACGGUACCUGACCAGAAAGCCACGGCUAACUACGUGCCAGCAGCCGCGGUAAUACGUAGGUGGCAAGCGUUGUCCGGAAUUAUUGGGCGUAAAGCGCGCGCAGGCGGUCCUUUAAGUCUGAUGUGAAAGCCCACGGCUCAACCGUGGAGGGUCAUUGGAAACUGGGGGACUUGAGUGCAGAAGAGGAGAGUGGAAUUCCACGUGUAGCGGUGAAAUGCGUAGAGAUGUGGAGGAACACCAGUGGCGAAGGCGACUCUCUGGUCUGUAACUGACGCUGAGGCGCGAAAGCGU